GAUGAAGAACGUAGCGAAAUGCGAUAAGUAAUGCGAAUUGCAGAAUUUCCGUGAGUCAUCGAAUCUUUGAACGCACAUUGCGCCCCUUGGUAUUCCAUGGGGCAUGCCUGUUCGAGCGUCAUUUGUACCUUCAAGCUCUGCUUGGUGUUGGGUGUUUGUCUCGCCUCUGCGUGUAGACUCGCCUUAAAACAAUUGGCAGCCGGCGUAUUGAUUUCGGAGCGCAGUACAUCUCGCGCUUUGCACUCAUAACGACGACGUCCAAAAGUACAUUUUUACACUCUUGACCUCGGAUCAGGUAGGGAUACCCGCUGAACUUAAGCAUAUCAAUAAGCGGAGGA
RNAcentral lists this unclassified non-coding RNA (338 nucleotides) under soil metagenome. RNAcentral's name for it is "partial contains 5.8S ribosomal RNA, internal transcribed spacer 2, and large subunit ribosomal RNA". The stretch from base 1 to 121 matches the Rfam family "5.8S ribosomal RNA", at positions 35 to 154 of the family's 154-position model. The record is from RNAcentral.